AGUCAGGCUGCUGGUUAUAUUC
RNAcentral lists this microRNA (22 nucleotides) under Rattus norvegicus (Norway rat). RNAcentral describes it as "rno-miR-344b-5p". Its record names the gene rno-miR-344b-5p. Lineage: Eukaryota; Metazoa; Chordata; Mammalia; Rodentia; Muridae. The record is from miRBase by way of RNAcentral.